GGCAGCAGUGGGGAAUCUUCCGCAAUGGGCGCAAGCCUGACGGAGCAACGCCGCGUGAGUGAAGAAGGCCUUCGGGUUGUAAAACUCUGUCAUCAGGGAAGAAGAAAGUGACGGUACCUGAGGAGGAAGCCCCGGCUAACUACGUGCCAGCAGCCGCGGUAAAACGUAGGGGGCGAGCGUUGUCCGGAAUUACUGGGCGUAAAGGGCGCGUAGGCGGUUAUCCAAGUCAGGGGUGAAAACCUUGGGCUCAACUCAGGGCCUGCCUCUGAAACUGGGUAACUUGAGGGCAGGAGAGGGGAGUGGAAUUCCCAGUGUAGCGGUGAAAUGCGUAGAUAUUGGGAGGAACACCAGUGGCGAAGGCGGCUCUCUGGCCUAACCCUGACGCUGAGGCGCGAAAGCGUGGGGAUCAAACAGGAUUAGAUACCCUGGUAGUCCACGCCGUAAACGAUGAG
Molecule: ribosomal RNA, 452 nt
Filed under: uncultured Bacillota bacterium
Lineage: Bacteria; Bacillati; Bacillota
Description: bacterial SSU rRNA
Rfam family: Bacterial small subunit ribosomal RNA
Source: RNAcentral